AUUGAACGCUGGCGGCAGGCCUAACACAUGCAAGUCGAGCGGCGACUCCGGUACUACCGGCGCACGCGGGUGUCGUGCGUCGGACUCUGCCCGGAAGUAUGGGAUACCGCCCUGUCGGGGGGGCUAAUGCAGCAUACGUCAUACUAGUACAGGAGACGGCCCUCCGGACAUAUCGCUGUUGCUUCAGCCCAUGUCGGAUUAGCUAGUUGGUGGGGUAAUGGCCUACCAAGGCGACGAUCCGUAGCUGGUCUGAGAGGAUGAUCAGCCACACUGGAACUGAGACACGGUCCAGACUCCUACGGGAGGCAGCAGUGGGGAAUAUUGGACAAUGGGCGAAAGCCUGAUCCAGCCAUGCCGCGUGUGUGAAGAAGGCCUUCGGGUUGUAAAGCCCUUUUGUCGGGGAGGAAGGGCAGCAGCCUAAUACGUCGCGGAAUUGACGUUACCCGAAGAAUAAGCACCGGCUAACUCCGUG
Molecule: ribosomal RNA, 472 nt
Filed under: uncultured bacterium
Lineage: Bacteria
Description: partial 16S ribosomal RNA
Rfam family: Bacterial small subunit ribosomal RNA
Source: RNAcentral